GACGAACGCUGGCGGCGCGCCUAACACAUGCAAGUCGAACGGAGCUGAGAGAAGCUUGCUUUUCUUAGCUUAGUGGCGAACGGGUGAGUAACGCGUGAGUAACCUGCCCUGGAGUGGGGGACAACAAUUGGAAACGACUGCUAAUACCGCAUAAGCCCACGAUCCGGCAUCGGAUUGAGGGAAAAGGAUUUAUUCGCUUCAGGAUGGACUCGCGUCCAAUUAGCUAGUUGGUGAGGUAACGGCCCACCAAGGCGACGAUUGGUAGCCGGACUGAGAGGUUGAACGGCCACAUUGGGACUGAGACACGGCCCAGACUCCUACGGGAAGCAGCAGUGGGGGAUAUUGCACAAUGGGGGAAACCCUGAUGCAGCGACGCCGCGUGGAGGAAGAAGGUUUUCGGAUUGUAAACUCCUGUCGUUAGGGACGAUAAUGACGGUACCUAACAAGAAAGCACCGGCUAACUACGUG
RNAcentral lists this ribosomal RNA (468 nucleotides) under uncultured bacterium. RNAcentral describes it as "partial 16S ribosomal RNA". It matches the Rfam family "Bacterial small subunit ribosomal RNA", at positions 28 to 507 of the family's 1533-position model. The record is from RNAcentral.